UACGUAGGGGGCAAGCGUUGUCCGGAUUUAUUGGGCGUAAAGCGCGUGUAGGCGGCCUUGCAAGUCGGGUGUGAAAUCCCUCAGCUUAACUGAGGAAGUGCGCCCGAAACUGCAGAGCUUGAGUGCCGGAGAGGAUGGCGGAAUUCCCCAAGUAGAGGUGAAAUUCGUAGAUAUGGGGAGGAACACCGGUGGCGAAGGCGGCCAUCUGGCCGGUAACUGACGCUGAGACGCGAAAGCGUGGGGAGCGAACAGG
Molecule: ribosomal RNA, 253 nt
Filed under: uncultured bacterium
Lineage: Bacteria
Description: partial 16S ribosomal RNA
Rfam family: Bacterial small subunit ribosomal RNA
Source: RNAcentral